AGACUUAUUAAAUUUAUUUCAUGUCAUUGUGGUCACUUUUACAGCUGUUUAGACUUAUUUUCAAUCACAUUACUCUUCACAGAAUUCACAGAAUUCAUUAACUAACUAGUAUGUUACAUCCAAGGGUUCUUAGUAGCACAUUGAAAUAGAAAAGAGGCCCACGAGUUGUUGCUUGUGUGUGGAACCUGAGUCUGAUUACUUAGACAGAUGUCUAGAACAUUAUUGCUUUAUUAGGCCUAUUUUUAAAAAUAAUAAAUUAUUCCUAGGAAACCCACCCUGCCAGGUGCUCAUUCUGCGACUGCUGUGGGUUCACUCAGAACAUACCUGACUGGUGGGUGCUGAAUGAACCUCCCACCCAUGUACCCUGCUGCUCCGGACGCUCUGAGGGCUAGAGCAAUGCCCCUCCAUGCGUGUAAACAUUUUCUACAGCUUGCCACUUUCCUCCCUGGUCUUGCAGCCAAUGGGCUGCAGUCAUACAUGGGUCUCUAUGUAAAACUUAAAUUAGACCUAAACAACAGGGUUCAGCGAAUGAGGACUAAUGCUGUGUGCAGAAUGCAGGCUGCAGUCGGGGCCUCAGUCCAGCUUCUUGUUGUUGUCUGUGUUGUGCACAGAAGCUAAAAAGUCGAUUAUGAGCUUGGCUGUCUUCCUGGGUCUUUCCAUCACUACUGAGUGCCCACAGUUUUCCAGAAGCUCCACCUGGCAGUUGGCAAUUGACUUGGCCAACAUGUCUGCCCCAGACACAUCCAGCACCUGCUGGGCAAGAAAGGGAGCUGGAUGAUACACAAAGAUUCAGACACCCACGUGUGCACUCUGUGGACAGAACUUCCACCAAGGCCUGGCAGGGGUCAGUGGGGCAGGAGGAUGUGAAUUUUAGGACCAAGUCCCUUUGGUGUUGGGGCUUGUGGCUGUCUGAAUGGAAGUAACCAUGAUGCCUCCUGUUUUAUUCUGCAACUCUGUGCCAGGAGUUGGGCUGAUGUCAGCAAUACUGAGGUAGAAAACAAACGUUCCUUGCCCUUGAGGAGGUUAUGGUAUGGUGGGGAAGUCAGAGAGCACAGGGGAUGAGCAGGGUCGAGGGAAGACCUCGUUCCUGAGUCCCGGGAGAGCAGAAAGGGGACAGGGGAGGAGCAUUCACGGAUGUGGGAAUGGCACAGGGUGGGAGAUCAUGGCGAGUGCAGGGGCCACCAAGGAGCACGGCGGCUGAGACACCAAGCACAUGGGCAGUGGGGGUGGCAUGGUGGGGAGAAGGGGCAGAGAGGAGGGCGCUGCUCCUACAGCCACACGGACCAUGGGGAACCACAGGCUGUGUUAAGGUGAGUGACUUGAUCAGGCUGGCCCUGUGGCUGGUUAGGGCAGCCCAAGCUGUAGGAAGGAUGCAAGAGGGGAAGGCUAAUUAUCACAAGCUGGGGGUAUCUCUUUAUUUGUUGAAAAGGAGUUUCACUCUUUCGCCCAGGCUGGAAUGAAGUGGCGUGAUCUCAACUCACUGCAACCUCCGCCUCCCAGGUUCAAGUGAUCUUCUGCCUCAGCCUCCCCAGUAGCUGGGAUUAUAGGUGCCCGCCACCAUGCCCAGCUAAUUUUUGUAUUUCUAGUAGAGAUGGGGUUUCACCACGUUGGCCAGGCUGGUCUCGAACUCCUGACCUCAGGUGAUCCACCUGCCUCAGCCUCCCAAAGUGCUAGGAUUACAGGCCUGAGCCACCGCACCCAGCUGGAGGUCUCUUUGAAGGUCCUCUGGGGAUCCCCAGAGCUGUGUGUUUCUUGGCUCUAACCUCUGCAGAUAUGGGGAAUGCUUUUCCAACAUGAAAGCCAGAACUUUUCCAGGGCUGAUCCUUUUCAAACAACUCAUUUCCUCUCCUUUUCCUCUGGGUUCCCAGCUACUAUGCCAAUCCACCUCCAUCUUUUUCCCCAACAUCCUCCCUCAGAAGUGGAUCCGCAUUCACUCCCCUUCUCUUAGCUGCCUUUACCUUCAAUUCAUCCUAGACAAGAGGGCCCCUCCUCCCCAUCCUUAACGGCAAAAGCAAAAGCCCCAACAAACUCAAGCACCUUCUGUGUCUUUGCUCUAUUCUCACCAACUCAAAU
This 2073-nucleotide long non-coding RNA is filed under the name Homo sapiens (human). Its description in RNAcentral is "non-protein coding lnc-DNASE1L3-2:1". The record is from RNAcentral. Lineage: Eukaryota; Metazoa; Chordata; Mammalia; Primates; Hominidae.